UACGUAGGGUGCGAGCGUUGUCCGGAAUUAUUGGGCGUAAAGGGCUCGUAGGCGGUUUGUCGCGUCGGGAGUGAAAACCCAGGGCUUAACCCUGGGCUGGCUUCCGAUACGGGCAGACUAGAGGUAUGCAGGGGAGAACGGAAUUCCUGGUGUAGCGGUGAAAUGCGCAGAUAUCAGGAGGAACACCGGUGGCGAAGGCGGUUCUCUGGGCAGUACCUGACGCUGAGGAGCGAAAGUGUGGGGAGCGAACAGG
This 253-nucleotide ribosomal RNA is filed under the name uncultured bacterium. Its description in RNAcentral is "partial 16S ribosomal RNA". It matches the Rfam family "Bacterial small subunit ribosomal RNA", at positions 524 to 776 of the family's 1533-position model. The record is from RNAcentral.